Molecule: unclassified non-coding RNA, 353 nt
Filed under: uncultured fungus
Lineage: Eukaryota; Fungi
Description: partial contains 5.8S ribosomal RNA and internal transcribed spacer 2
Rfam family: 5.8S ribosomal RNA (bases 1-132)
Source: RNAcentral
UGGUUCUGGCAUCGAUGAAGAACGCAGCGAAAUGCGAUAAGUAAUGCGAAUUGCAGAAUCCGUGAGUCAUCGAAUCUUUGAACGCACAUUGCGCCCUUUGGUAUUCCGAAGGGCAUGCCUGUUCGAGCGUCAUUAUCACCCCUCAAGCCCGGCUUGUAGUUGGUUGCGGCGGCCCCUACCGCCCUUCCCAAAGAUAAUGACGGCGUCUGUGAGGACUCCUGUACACUGAGCUUUCGGGCACGUACACGGCUAGAAAUCCAGGCCCGGUCGCCCUCGGCCCCCCUCGUUUUCGAGGGACCGAGAACCCCCUUUAUAUCAAGGUUGACCUCGGAUCAGGUAGGAAUACCCGCUGA